RNAcentral lists this transfer RNA (76 nucleotides) under Tapinoma ibericum. RNAcentral's name for it is "tRNA-Arg". Lineage: Eukaryota; Metazoa; Arthropoda; Insecta; Hymenoptera; Formicidae. The record is from RNAcentral.
AUUCUUAAAGUAAUUUAUUACAUUUAAUUUCGACUUAAAAAUAGAUUAUAAUAUAAAAAAAAUUAAUCUAAGAAUU